AGUGAACGCUGGCGGUAGGCCUAACACAUGCAAGUCGAACGGCAGCACAGUAAGAGCUUGCUCUUACGGGUGGCGAGUGGCGGACGGGUGAAGAAUACAUCGGAAUCUACUUUUUCGUGGGGGAUAACGUAGGGAAACUUACGCUAAUACCGCAUACGUCCUACGGGUGAAAGCAGAGGAUCUUCGGACCUUGCGCGACUGAAUGAGCCGAUGUCGGAUUAGCUAGUUGGCGGGGUAAAGGCCCACCAAGGCGACGAUCCGUAGCUGGUCUGAGAGGAUGAUCAGCCACACUGGAACUGAGACACGGUCCAGACUCCUACGGGAGGCAGCAGUGGGGAAUAUUGGACAAUGGGCGCAAGCCUGAUCCAGCCAUACCGCGUGGGUGAAGAAGGCCUUCGGGUUGUAAAGCCCUUUUGUUGGGAAAGAAAAGCAGCAGGUGAAUACCCCGCUGUUCUGACGGUACCCAAAGAAUAAGCACCGGCUAACUUCGUG
This 492-nucleotide ribosomal RNA is filed under the name uncultured bacterium. RNAcentral's name for it is "partial 16S ribosomal RNA". It matches the Rfam family "Bacterial small subunit ribosomal RNA", at positions 29 to 507 of the family's 1533-position model. The record is from RNAcentral.